Pocillopora verrucosa is the source of this 1345-nucleotide non-coding RNA. NCBI's taxonomy places the organism in Eukaryota, Metazoa, Cnidaria, Anthozoa, Scleractinia, Pocilloporidae. The record is from RefSeq and is a predicted model, not a curated record.
AGGAAAGUGGAAAGGGAGCGUGCCUGUAUGUGUCCUCAGCAAAAAGUUCAGAUUCAACAACAAUCAUCAUCAAGAAGCUAGAGAGCAUUAGGAUUUACUGUUAACAUUAGGAAUCAAGCAUUGCAUCAGCUUCACAGUUACUGUAUGUGCCUCCAUGAGGAUGGCUCUUAUUGUGUUGGAAGACUGUGAAGAAAACAAUUUCAUUGAGACUAUCAAAUCAUCAAAGGAUGAUGAUACAACAAGCACACGCUCAUUGUAUUUAUUUCUUCUGGACUCCUGUCAGGUAAAGCUGUUCCUUUCUCCCUGGUUACUCAUAUCACUAUGGUAACUGGCCAAAGUAGCCCUCUCUUAUUCCUUAGUAAGGGUUAAAACCAGUUAUAUGAGUUCUUUGAGACAGAGCUGACCUCCUUGAUCAGUAGCGAAAGAAGAGGCUCUGUAGAAAUGAAAAGGAAAGUGGAAAGGGAGCAUGCCUGUAUGUGUCCUCAGCAAAAAGUUCAGAUUCAACACAAUCAUCAUCAAGAAGCUGGAGACUAUCAGGAUUUACUGUUAAGAAGGAAUCAAGCAUUGCAUUAGCUUCACAGUUAUGCGCCUCUGUGAGGAUGGCUCUUAUUGUGUUGAAAGACUGUGAAGAAAACAAUUUCAUUGAGACUAUCAAAUCAUCAAAGGCAUGCAAUGAGCACACACCCAUUGUAUUUAUUUCCUCUGGACCCCUGUCAGAUACUUGAUGCAAGAGCAGUACAUUGAUGAGCUUGUGUUCAAACGCUUGACACUGGAGUGUGAUCACCUGAUAAUGCAACCAUGACAAUUUGCAGGUACAUGUAUCUAUCAUGUAGAGUUUGGUUGAGUCAUGUUUGCUUUUUCAUUGUAAAAUGCCUUACAUUAUUUUUCAGAGUAUAUUCAGAGUGACAGUGAAUUUUGAGUGGUGUAUUAAGCCUUAAUCCCUCUUUGAAAAGAACACAUUUCCAAAACAAAAGAGAGGGAAAAAAACAGUGGAUUACUUUUUAAAUUACCCAGCCAAUUGGUAUGUGCUUAAUUCAUUUUUUACUGUUACUAGGCAAUGGAUUUAACUGGAAGCAAAUUAAACCACUAAACAGAGUUCUUUUUAAUAAUUGGUGGCUCAUUUUGUAAAACAUGUUGGUUCUGGUUUUCAGUUUCUCCCUGGACAUACAACUUUUUUGUAGCAAACACAAAACAAAAUGAAAAUUAAUUUAAUUGAGCAAUGAAGCUGUGUGCAUAUUGAAAAUGUUGUUGGGAGCCAUACAUAAUUUGGUCCCUUUAGGAAAAUUGUAAGGUCAAUGGAGGAUUUCUUAAAAUGUUCCUUCAGUUACACUUAUUUAGAUUUGAC